Molecule: ribosomal RNA, 409 nt
Filed under: uncultured bacterium
Lineage: Bacteria
Description: bacterial SSU rRNA
Rfam family: Bacterial small subunit ribosomal RNA
Source: RNAcentral
CAGCCGCCGCGGUAAUACGAAGGUGGCAAGCGUUAUUCGGAUUUACUGGGCGUACAGGGAGCGUAGGCGGUUUGGUAAGCCCUCUGUGAAAUCUUCAGGCUUAACCUGGAAAAGUCGGAGGGGACUGCUGGGCUAGAGGACGGGAGAGGAGCGCGGAAUUCCCGGUGUAGCGGUGAAAUGCGUAGAGAUCGGGAGGAAGGCCGGUGGCGAAGGCGGCGCUCUGGAACGUUUCCGACGCUGAGGCUCGAAAGCGUGGGGAGCAAACAGGAUUAGAUACCCUGGUAGUCCACGCAGUAAACUGUGAACACUAGGUGUAGCGGGUAUUGACCCCUGCUGUGCCGAAGCUAACGCAUUAAGUGUUCCGCCUGGGAAGUACGGUCGCAAGGCUAAAACUCAAAGGAAUUGACGG